RNAcentral lists this long non-coding RNA (5627 nucleotides) under Homo sapiens (human). RNAcentral describes it as "HSALNT0079403". The record is from RNAcentral. Lineage: Eukaryota; Metazoa; Chordata; Mammalia; Primates; Hominidae.
CCAACUGAGUGCCAAGACCCUGGCUUAGAGACGUUGAGGAUACACACCCUAGCAGGGACAUGGAGCUACAGGAGGCAGAGUGUGUGCAGGAACUCAAAGCCCAUGGAACAGCAGGAUGCAGCUUUUCUUGGCUCCGUUACUGAGAGAUCCUGUCUGAUGUUUCCUCUCUGACAGGCCGUGACUGGGGACAUUUGGAUGGCCAGCAGAGCUGGAUUUAGAGGCAGAAGAGCUGGGCAGCUGUCCCAGUUACUCAUCUAUGAGGGGAGCUGAAAGAUCAUGAGAAUAAAUCAGAAAGAUGGUGCCAGUUAACCCCGCUUUCCACACAAGACUCUUGAUAUAAUUGGUGAAGUGGAAACUCCAGCCAAAGUACACUCCAUCCUCAAGCAAAACAUAAAACACACUCCUGAUGGAUACAGAAAGUUCUGGUGGCCUUAGAGCCUGAUUUGGUGCCAACCUGCCUGCGUUCAAAUCCAGGUUCCACUACUCACUGGAUGUGUGACCUUAGACAACUUCUUUCACCUCCUAGUGCUCUGUUCCCUUGGCUAUAAAAUAAAAAUUAUAAGAGUGCCAGUUUUGAACACUAAAUGGGCAUAAAGGAAACACUUAGACCCCAGACGGGCAUGUAGCAGGAACUUUAUAAUGGUUAGCUACUCAUUACCAUCUUUGUGAUGAGCUCAAGCAAGUUGCCUAAUGCCACUGGAGGCUGCACCCCUACCUGAGACAGCCACCUGAACAUUUCCUUAACGUGCAGCCUCUGAGAGCUGAAACUCUGAAAGGAAGUCCUGCAUAAUGAGCAUUUAUUAUGUUCAAGUAAUUAAUUUUCUCUCUUAAAAAUGUAACCCCCUUAGUACACCUCAAAAGAAAUCAUCUGACUUAGAAAAUACAAAAGACAUCUGAACAACAUCAAACAUUACAGAAAAGUUUUGCCCACGUGAAAGUCCCACUCCACCCCACCGCACCCCAAGAAAAGCAAAGCAAACAUAAAACCAACUUUUGAACAUUUUGAACAAGUGUUUGUAACCAUAUCGAUAUAUGCAUUACCUCUGUCCUGAGUGGGCAAAUCGGGAAGAACUGCAAAUGAUGUGUGAAGAACUGUACCCUGCGUGCCAGGCAGAUAUUCAUUCAUGAACAGAUAUUUACAUGACAGAAAGUGUCCUAGGCCUGGUGGAUGUGAAGAAAACAGACAGAGUCCCUGCUCUCAGGAAGCUGUGCCAGCAGGAGAGACAGAGAGGCUUUCCUGAGGAAAGAGCAAUUAACCUCAAGUCUGUCUUCAAAAGGUUAGAGUCUUUUUUCUCCUGAGAAACAGAAAAGAGACGUUGGAAGCUGACAUGCCUCUUUGUUUAUUCUUCGUGCAACUCCUACCAAGAUCCUGGAAAAGCAGUGAUUCCUUCACAGUCACCCCUUUAGGGUGGUCCCUAAAACCAGAUGCAGAACAUUUUAGAAAACUCCAAGUCAGUGCUCAUUCCUUGGGGCAACCUGCUCUGGGCCUUGUUGAAGGAGAGGUCUGGUUUGUGACAUUAACAAGUACAUGCUGACAACAAAUACAACCACUUCCUCACCUGCUACCAUGAGGAAACCAACAUACCAGGGUUGCUGGCUUGGAGGGAAACUUACAAACACCCACGAGAGAUGGUGGCUUUUGGCCCCUCACAGCCUCCGUAGUCUCCUGGAUUUCCCUGGCAGAAGGCCCUCAAACUAUGCACAAAUGAGGGGCAUUGUGCAUCCGUCCUAUUUUUAAAAACUCUCCAGGAAAUACACUUGCUGCCUACACUUCCUCACCACCCACUCGCUCUUCGGGGCUUCUAAUCCGGCUUCCGCCCCACCUCGUUCCUGAUGGAGCCCCAGGAAGGACUCCAAGGACCUCCUCCUCAGCCACAAAUCCUGCAGCCUUGCCCCAGUCCCUCAUCCUCAGCCGGUUCAGCAUUCCACAGGAAAUCUCCCCUCUCUGGGUUUCCGUGGCAGGAAACUCCCGUUGUUUUCUCUUUUUAAUGUGUGUGCCUACCCAGGGAUCUGAGCUUAGCACCCCUCCCUCUGUGCUGCCUCCUUCAUUAUCUCACCUACCCUGGGCCUCACCUGACACCUCCAUGCAGAUGGUCCUCACUUCCAGCCUCUCUUGUCAGCACCAACUCUGAGCUCCAACCCCUGUCGGGCAUCAGGUCUCGGGUGCCUCUUCUGAAUGUCUAAAUAUCCCAAACGGAAUGGGUCAUUUUCUGCUCCAGUUCUGUCCUCCCUUUAUAACCUCCUCUCCCAAGAGCCCGCCACCCUCCAGUGUUCACUCUCCAAAUCUUAGCGUCAUCUCUGGCUUACCCAAUGGCCUUACCCCCAAGAUCCAACCAAUUGCAAGUUCUCUCUUUACCACAUCUCUCCGAUAUCACCAUCUUUGUAUUCCCAUCAAGUGCUUAUAUUCUACUCUUUUUCAGACCAUUGCAGUAACCUCCUAACGGAUCCAUCUCUACUCUGUCCUCCUCCCACACCCCUUUCCCCACAAUCUAUAUUCUGUGCUUCUUUGAGGACACUCUUCAAGUUCCAUCAGGAAGGCACUAUUUUGUCUCCCUGCCCUAAAACCUGCAAUGGUUCCCACUGCUGAUAAUAAGUCCUAAGCCUGGCUUUACACCCAUCAUAAUUCAAGGCUCUCCCAGUCCACUUUCCAUCACCUUCCCUCUAGGUACACAUUUCUGCAGUUUACCUCAAAUUCCCACUCAUCUUGAAACACUCUGUCUUCCCAUCUCCAGGCUUUUACUCAAGCUGGACCUUUCUCAGGUAAUGCCUUUCUUUUUAUUUACGUCUACCAAAAUCUUACCUUUCCCUUUAGGGUCAUCUCAAAUGCCACUUCUUCCAGGAUGCCUCCCAGAGUUUCCCCAGCCAGGAGUGCUUUCCAUUCCGUGCUCCCUGGCUUCACUCAGUUUAUCCCUGCACACUCAUCACACUGAAUCUCAUGUUGCAGUAUUUGAGUAUGUGCCUCAUUGCCCUGCCUCUGGGUCAGGGAUGUUGUCCUACUAAAGGAGUCAUUUGCUCACGGUUGAUACUUGCUGAAUUAAGUCAUCAGGUUAGAUAACCAUACACUUGUUUACCUUUCACUGUUUGAAAAAAUACACAUCCAAAAUAUAUAAUCACAGGGACUAAAUCAAAGUAAAGAAUAUGGAAAUAUGUUCUGUUCACAUCCAUGGGUGAAGAUCAGAAUGUAGAUCAAAACCCAGUUCUUGAGUGACUUGGACCGUUGCUGGAUAGAUUUUAACUAAUCUUAUGGAAAAUAUUCAAGGGACUUAAUGAGCCUAGCUAGGAAAGGAGGAGGGCAAGCGAGAGGGAGCCAGAGCGGCUGCUGUCAAGAAACACUUUCUUCCUGUAACCGUAUCCCCCGGGACCGGGCCAGUACCUUUGCUUAAUCUCCCUCUCUGUGGUCACUCAGGAUAUGAUUACUGGCAUCAGAUGCAAGCACAUGUUUCUGUUCCAUUAAUCUGAGUGAGGCUGAGAAAAUGAAAAGGGAGUCACAAGGGCAUUGCUGUGUUGGUCUGUUACCACCUCAAAGAGGAGCAAGAGAGAAGGGGGAGGAAGGAUCUGGCACAUGGGCCAGGAGGGGGGCCGUAAGGGAGCAAAGGGAGAUGAGAAAACCAUACAAAGAAGAAGUUCCUGUAGCAUGGAGGCUGAUUCCUUUCAGCUGUUACAAGAUGGGGCAUGGAGGAGGGAUGUACACACACACAUAGACACACACAGACGCACACAGGGGCCCCCACAAAGCAACCUAUAGACUCAGAGCAUCUCCACCAUAGGGCUUUUGCAAUCAGCCUGAUAACCCUUGUGAGUGUUGUUGCUCAGGGUGUACAGAAACCCACAUAACAUAAAUCUGUCUUACACACAGUAACAGCCUUAAUGGGAGGCUGCGGCACAGUAAUGAAGAUGUGAACAGCUAAAACACAAUGUCAGAUGGCAGUGGUGACAUCUGAAAGCCAUAAUUUGCGGCUCGGCAUAUUUUUGUUCCAGGUACCAGAGCCUGCACAAAUACUCGCUGACUUGUCUCUCUCAAGCAGCAUCUCUGCUGGGCUUGGCCAGGGGCCAGGUGGUCUUUGCCUUGCCAACAGGUUUCUGCUAUAGAGAGCCCAGGAAGUCUUUCCUCUCUAUCAUCCGAUGGAGCCGAAAUGGAGCAACAGAAUAGGUAUAAACACAUAUCUUGUUCCUGAAGUUCGGGCCACUUAAAUAACCCAUUUCCCUUUUGUCCAAUCAAAGUGUCCUGGCUGAAUAUCUUGAGGGGUGGCCAAAUGAAUCAAAAUAAUUUUAGCUAAGCCAGAGCUUGGGGGCUUCUGGAAAGGAAAGGUGAGACAUUAUGGAGCACAGAGGCACCAGAUUCUGUUUUUCAGCUGUGACUCUCCCUUCUUUUCAAUCCCUCCUUCUCAUUGCUACCUUCCCAGAACCUCAGCACUGCAGACAAGCAAUUUCUUCAAGUACAGACCUUCAAAUUAAAGGUUACAUUUCCAGUUCUAGCUAGCUACCUGGCAGUUAAAUGGCAUCAAUGCAUGAGUUAAGGUUUAUAAAUGCAAGGGAAGAGGGGCUCCACUGAGGAAGCAGUGUUAUGUUUAGCCCCAAGGAACUGAGGAAUUCAAAGUCUAGGCAGAGUGGCCUUUUCCAGCGCCUUAAUCCUCCCUGCUGGGUCUCCACUCAGCAGCCCGUAUACAUCUGUUGACCUGCUGCUCUGGACUGCCUUCCUGCCAGGCUCUGUGCAGUGGGCGGAGAGGAUAAAGUGACUGUUAACAGCAGGAGUCUUAACUCCUGGCCUGGGUCCCUAAAAGCACAGGCUGCAAAACAGUUUAAGCUGCCACCAAGACACCCCGCCCCCACUGUGGUGGCUCCGGACCCUUUCACUUGCACAGAGGUUUGCUUCAAGGAACUUUGAGGGUCAACUGGAGCUUCACUCUGAAGUUGGGGGGCUGGCGAGGGCUGCAGCACCUACCACAAGCGCCUUAACGUGCGCAUGGGGAGGCUGCUAUGAAUCCCCCCUUACAAAGGCUCAGCCGCAUGACAUCAGGAGAAUCUCUGGGAACAGGUGUGGCGGGAGCUCAGCACCCACAGGGCAUCAGUCUGAAGGCAGCCUGCAGGCAGGAGUGAGAGAAACAGGGUCACACAGCAGAAACUGGCCCCACCCCUGAGAAGCUGUCCAGCACCUGCUUUGCAGAGAUGGGUCUGACCUGAGUUCUUGGGAUCCCAAACAUUUUCCCACCCAGAAGACAGCACACGGUCUUAUGAGCAGUGAACAUCAGGUCACUUGGGGAACUGGGGGACUAAUUUAUUUUCAGUUUUUACUAUAAACAUUUUAGAUUUUUGCUCAGAUUGACAUUUUAUUGGGAUAUGAUUUAUAUACAGUGAAAUUCACCGUUUCUCUCAGUUUAAACAAAUAUAGAUGUUCAUGUAACUCUCCCUACAAUCAAGAUGUAAAACAUUUCCAUCUUUCCAAAAAGUUCCCUCGUGCCUCUUCAUCAUCAAGUUUGACCCCCUCAGCCCCAUUCCCUGGCAGCCACUGAUCUGAUUUCUGUCUCUAUAAUUUUGCCUUUUCUAGAAUGUUAUAUAAAUAGAAUAAUACAGUAUGUAGCCUUUCAAAUAUGGCUUCUUUCACUUAGCAUGAUUCAUUGUGGAUAUAU